UUGUAUAAGAGAUGUUGUAGGUGUUGUGAAUGGGGAUAGAGUACGUUAUCAUCAGUAUAUUAGAGUUGUAUAAGAGAUGUUGUAGGUGUUGUGAAUGGGUAUAGAGUACGUUAUCAUCGGUAUAUUAGAGUUGUAUAAGAGAUGUUGUAGGUAUUGUGAAUGGGGAUAGAGUACGUUAUCAUCGGUAUAUUAGAGUUGUAUAAGAGAUGUUGUAGGUGUUGUGAAUGGGUAUAGAGUACGUUAUCAUCGGUAUAUUAGAGUUGUAUAAGAGAUGUUGUAGGUGUUGUGAAUGGGUAUAGAGUACGUUAUCAUCGAUAUAUUAGAGCUGUAUAAGAGAUGUUGUAGGUGUUAUGAAUGGGGAUAGAGUACGUUAUCAUCGGUAUAUUAGAGUUGUAUAAGAGAUGUUGUAGGUGUUGUGAAUGGGGAUAGAGUACGUUAUCAUCGGUAUAUUAGAGUUGUAUAACAGAUGUUGUAGGUGUUGUGAAUGGGUAUAGAGUACGUUAUCAUCGGUAUAUUGGAGUUGUAUAAGAGAUGUUGUAGGUGUUGUGAAUGGGGAUAGAGUACGUUAUCAUCGGUAUAUUAGAGUUGUAUAAGAGAUGUUGUAGGUGUUGUGAAUGGGGAUAGAGUACGUUAUCAUCGGUAUAUUAGAGUUGUAUAAGAGAUGUUGGUGUUUUGAAUGGGGAUAGAGUACGUUAUUAUUGGUAUAUUAGAGUUGUAUAAGAGAUGUUGUAGGUAUUGUGAAUGGGGAUAGAGUACGUUAUCAUCGGUAUAUUAGAGUUGUAUAAGAGAUGUUGGUGUUUUGAAUGGGUAUAGAGUACGUUAUCAUGGGUAUAUUAGAAACGUUGGGAUUGUAUGAUGAUGUUGUUGUUAUUAUUAUUAUUAUUAUUAUUAUUAUUAUUAUUAUUAUUAUUAUUAUUAUUGAGAGGCUGGGUGGCCAUCUGUUGGGAGUGCUUGGAUUGUGUCCUGCAUGUCAGAUGGUGGGAGGUAUUAGCUGGCCGUGAUUGUUUAGUGUCUGGCAUUCCUGUGUUUUAAGAGUGUUGUUUUUUAUUUGGUGUUGUGAUUUUAAGCUUGUUAAAAUAUUAGGAGUCAGAUAGUGUUGAUUGUCAUGGUUGAUAGCAUAUAUUUAAAAUAUUGAGUGUUAAAAUGGGUUGGAUAGUGUAGAAGGGAGAGUAUAUGGAGAGAAAUAAUUCGGAUGAUGGGUGGGCGCUAGGACCCAGGGGACAGCUUUUUCCCUUUGCCUGCCUUUCCUCUUGCCGCGGCGGCCAUUAUGUUUUUUCUUUUCCUCCCUCCCGGCAUGGCUACCAAUGGGGCUUUGUGAGUUCUCUCCAUGUGGAGCUCCGUGAAAUGCCAAAUUGUGAAUACAGAAGGCAAUCAGCUACAUACCAAGUCGCACAGCUGCUGAUAAAUGAAAUGCAAGUUAUAGUCAAGAAACUGGAAGAAACCCAAAACUUGGAAAAAUAGCUGUGAAGAAGGAUCCUCCAGUCCAAAAAUACAUCAUGAAAUGACCAAAGUCAAAAUCACCCUUGUUGUAGGAUUUCCCAUUUCUAUGUAAAGUUGUAAGAGUUGGACAAGGAAAAUGGUCACAGGAAGAAAAUCAACUCAUUUGUAAUAUGGACCUGGAUAAGAGUGGGACAAAUACUAAAUGGAUCUCAGAGCAAAUGAGUAGUUGAUUUUAUUAUGGUUUCAUUACGGUUAUGGUUUCAUGAUGAAACCAAGGCUAGCAUGCUUUGGAUGUAUCAUGAAGCCACAUGCCUCAUCAGAAAAGAUAUUAAGCCUGUGCAGUUCUGGUUCUCAAAUCUUCUUUGUUUCCAGAUGAUUAUUACUAUAUAGUAUAAAGUCCCAAUGUGGCUGGAUUCUAUAUAUCUUUAAACUUACAUAAAUACAAUGCCAACAU
This is a long non-coding RNA of Anolis carolinensis (green anole), 1894 nucleotides long. RefSeq lists it as uncharacterized. The record is from RefSeq and is a predicted model, not a curated record. NCBI's taxonomy places the organism in Eukaryota, Metazoa, Chordata, Lepidosauria, Squamata, Anolidae. The transcript has 3 exons.